RNAcentral lists this ribosomal RNA (326 nucleotides) under uncultured eukaryote. Its description in RNAcentral is "partial 18S ribosomal RNA". It matches the Rfam family "Eukaryotic small subunit ribosomal RNA", at positions 1470 to 1796 of the family's 1831-position model. The record is from RNAcentral.
CCCUUAGAUGUUCUGGGCCGCACGCGCGCUACACUGAUGCAUUCAACGAGCCUAGCCUUGACCGAGAGGUCCGGGUAAUCUUUGAAACUGCAUCGUGAUGGGGCUAGAUUGUUGCAAUUAUUAAUCUUCAACGAGGAAUGCCUAGUAAGCGUGAUUCAUCAAAUCGCGUUGAUUACGUCCCUGCCCUUUGUACACACCGCCCGUCGCUCCUACCGAUUGAGUGUGUUGGUGAGGAGUUUGGAUUGGCCUCGGAAGGUGGUUCGCCACCGUCCGUAGCUGAGAAGUUCUCCAAACCGCCCCACUUAGAGGAAGGAGAAGUCGUAACA